Molecule: ribosomal RNA, 519 nt
Filed under: uncultured eukaryote
Lineage: Eukaryota
Description: bacterial SSU rRNA
Rfam family: Eukaryotic small subunit ribosomal RNA
Source: RNAcentral
AGGGCACCACCAGGAGUGGAGCCUGCGGCUUAAUUUGACUCAACACGGGAAAACUUACCCGGCCCGGACACUGGAAGGAUUGACAGAUUGAGAGCUCUUUCUUGAUUCAGUGGGUGGUGGUGCAUGGCCGUUCUUAGUUGGUGGAGCGAUUUGUCUGGUUAAUUCCGAUAACGAACGAGACUCUAGCCUACUAAAUAGACUGUUCAGCUUUAUAGCCGGAAUCACCGGGCAUGUAGCUCUCACGGGUUGCAUGUUCGGCUCUGGUGACGUUGGCAGUGCUUCUUAGAGGGACAGGCGGCGGUUCAGCCGCACGAAACAGAGCAAUAACAGGUCUGUGAUGCCCUUAGAUGUCCGGGGCUGCACGCGCGCUACACUGAAGUGAUCAGCGUGCAAUUUACGUUUGGUGAUCUGUCAAGAUUGCCCAACCCGUUGAACCUUCUUCGUGAUUGGGAUAGGGGAUUGUAAGUAUUCCCCUUGAACGAGGAAUUCCCAGUAAGCGCAAGUCAUAAGCUUGCGUUG